RNAcentral lists this ribosomal RNA (369 nucleotides) under Glomus sp. rp18. RNAcentral describes it as "eukaryotic LSU rRNA". The record is from RNAcentral. Lineage: Eukaryota; Fungi; Glomeromycota; Glomeromycetes; Glomerales; Glomeraceae.
UGAAAGGGAACGAUUGAAGUCAGUCGUACCGACGAGAAAUCAACUUAUCGUGUGCGAACUUAUGGGCGUGCGUGAGUUUCGGCCUCGCUGUUUGCAUGUUUGUGCGUUUUGGGUGUACUUUUUCGUAUGGUAGGCCAACAUCAGUUUCGAUUACUAUAAAAUGACCGGCGGAAUGUGGCUUCGAUUUCGGUUGAAGUGUUAUAGCCUCUGGUAGAUGUGGUGAUUGGGACUGAGGAUUGCAACGAAUAUCCUUUGGGCUAUCCGUCUGAUCUCUGAAAGUUGCUCAGGUGCCGAAAGCAUGCUUACGGUCAUCUAAGUUGACGGUCAAAAGGUUAGAACGUGAUUACAUUCGUUAAGGAUGUUGACGUA